RNAcentral lists this ribosomal RNA (253 nucleotides) under uncultured bacterium. RNAcentral describes it as "partial 16S ribosomal RNA". It matches the Rfam family "Bacterial small subunit ribosomal RNA", at positions 524 to 776 of the family's 1533-position model. The record is from RNAcentral.
UACGUAGGGCGCGAGCGUUAAUCGGAAUUACUGGGCGUAAAGCGUGCGCAGGCGGUUUUGUAAGCCAGAUGUGAAAUCCCCGGGCUCAACCUGGGAAUGGCAUUUGGGACUGCAAGGCUCGAGUGCGGCAGAGGAGACUGGAAUUCCUGGUGUAGCAGUGAAAUGCGUAGAUAUCAGGAGGAAUACGGAUGGCGAAGGCAGGUCUCUGGGCUGACACUGACGCUCAUGCACGAAAGCGUGGGGAGCGAACAGG